GGGCCCGCACAAGCGGUGGAGCAUGUGGUUUAAUUCGACGCAACGCGAAGAACCUUACCUACUCUUGACAUCUACAGAAGAACGCAGAGAUGUGUUUGUGCCUUCGGGAACUGUAAGACAGGUGCUGCAUGGCUGUCGUCAGCUCGUGUUGUGAAAUGUUGGGUUAAGUCCCGCAACGAGCGCAACCCUUAUCCUUAGUUGCCAGCGAUUCGGUCGGGAACUCUAGGGAGACUGCCGGUGAUAAACCGGAGGAAGGUGGGGACGACGUCAAGUCAUCAUGGCCCUUACGAGUAGGGCUACACACGUGCUACAAUGGUAUGUACAGAGGGAGGCAAGCUGGCGACAGUGAGCGGAUCUCUUAAAGCAUAUCGUAGUCCGGAUUGGAGUCUGCAACUCGACUCCAUGAAGUCGGAAUCGCUAGUAAUCG
This 427-nucleotide ribosomal RNA is filed under the name uncultured bacterium. Its description in RNAcentral is "bacterial SSU rRNA". It matches the Rfam family "Bacterial small subunit ribosomal RNA", at positions 917 to 1344 of the family's 1533-position model. The record is from RNAcentral.